CAGUACAAAACAAAACCCAACAAGUCGUCAUUUUUAUACCAAUUUUGAGGAAGCUUUGCUACUACUUCAGCUCCCUUUUUGUGAUGGCUUAUCCAAUCUGGAAUUCCACAACUUUCUGAAAUAAUAAGAUUUACUCGGGCAAAAGGUUUUUCUAAAGGAUAAAUCUUGCAUUCCAAAUCCUGCAGAAAAUUUAAUUAACACUUAAAUCCCCAUGUCUCCACAAAAAAAGUUUUGGUCUAUGAAUAUCAUACCUGAAUCAAUGAUUUGAAGCAGUUGAAUAGAGAAGACCAGAGUAGACCUGAAGAAGUUUCCAGCCGUUUGCACAAAUGUAUAUCUAAGACACGCAAACUGGAUGGAAGUGCUGGAAUUUGUCGAAGCUCUUGACAGUUACCCAAGACAAGGAGUCUCAGCCUAGAAAGUUGAUUGAUCCCAGCAGGUAUGCUCCUAAAAAGAUUCCCGAAUAGAAAUAAUUCUUGCAGAGAUGAUAGCUGGCAAAUUUCAGUGGGGAUUCCUCCUUCAUCUAUACCACACACACGUAGAUCUACAACUUCCAAGGAGUACAAGCAGCAAAUAUCACUCAGGACUACUCCUUGCAUUAGCUUUGAGUAAAUAAGAUCUAACUCCUUUAAGGAGCAUAAACCUGACAAAGAAAGCAAUUGGCAACAUCUUGAAUUUAAGCCCCUAGCACGGAGACACUUCAAGCUUUGCAGCCUCCCCAGGUUUUGUGGCAAUUUGUGGAGUUUUGAACAGUAAUUCACAUUGAGAUCUUCAAGAAAGCGUAAAUUACAAAUGCUUUCUGGAAGAGUCACAAGGUUUUUGCACCUCUCAAGAUUCAAAACUUGAAGCCUAUUCAAAUGUUCGAUUGAAGAUGGUAGCUCUUUUAUGGCCGUUCCGUUCAAGUGAAGCUGCCUUAAGUUUUCCAUAUUCUCCAAGAUUUCUGGGAAGUACUGUAAUUGUGAACAGUCAGAGCAAAAGAGAGAUUUUAGGGAUUUGAACUCCCAAAUGCUUGUUGGUAGACUCUCAAGGUUUUUGCACUCUCGCAAACAUAAGGUAUCAAAUUCAGAGGCACACUCAAUGGGUGGUAGGCUGAUUGUCUGACCCUUUAAACAAAGCUUUCGGUGUUCCACAUUCCUCUGACAUUCAGCGCAGCUAGCAUCCACAUCAUCAGUCUGUACUAUUGGAUCUUGGGCGUAUAUAGGUUCAAGCCCACACUUGAGCACCUUAAAAUGAUUGCGACAGCCCAUAAAUAUAGCCCCAAGAAACAUGGAUGGAUUGGUGUGACAGCUCUCCAGAAUAGCAGCCUUGGGAUAGAAUAUCACCCACAUUUGUUCUGAUCCACCUCCAUCAUGGUAGCAUUUACAAGUAGUGCGAAAACUGAGACGUUGCGCACACAGGGUAGAAAAUCCAUAUCUAUCAUGUAAUGACAAUUUACAUUCUAACCCAGUGGAGAUUGAAGAUUCAGCUUCAAGUAAAUCGUCAUAUUCAUUUAGGGCUUCGUCACCAGAUUCAUUCUCCGAUGUAUGUGCAAAAUCAUUUUCUGGUAUGUCCUCACAUUCAUCGUGUGGAGCAUAAACACAGCAUAUAGCAAUUCCCAAGAAGUCAUUAUUUUCGUAACAAUUCUGAGGAAGGUCCAUUGUGAUAUGAUUUCCCUCUCUCUGAUUCCUUAUCCACUUGGGAAUUCCACAGCUUCCCGGAACAACAAUACAGACUCCAUUGCCAAUGAAGUCAGAAUCACGGAGAAAUACUUCAUUUGAACUGCUCUUGUAUUUCAAAUCCUGUACAAAAGGACAAUGUAAAUCCUGUGGGUCUGUGCCAUUAUGUGAGUUUUUAUGAGAGAGUUUGUUAUCAGUUUUUGAUAAAUUGAUUCCCAGUUUUAACUUUCUUUGAUCUAUGCUCCUGAAUCUACUUAAUAUCCCUUUUAGAUGACGGAUUAUCAAUCAACAUGAAAGUGAGUGACAAGAUUAAGUGUGAAAACUGGAAGUGAGGGGAAACUGAAACUGAAAGUGAGUAGAAUAACCAGAUCUCUUCUUCACUUGCAGUAGCUUCUUCUCCAUUCAGAUACAGAGAUCUUAGAAUUGUAGCUUCAACUUAACUCUCAGAAUCUUAAAGACAAAGUUCGCUCAAGUUUCAAAAACUCACACAAAAAUUUCUCCUCAUGUUUCUCUUAAUCCUAUGAGGCGAGAGACAUGUAGCACACACUUAUUGGCUUUUUUACAUGCAAGUUUCAAGGUGGAGCGUCUAAUGAACUAAAACAUUCCCUCAAAUCCCAGUGGAAAUUCACACUAGAAAUUGCAGAAUUUGCUAAGGAAAAGUUUAAUUCAUUUAAUCCAUGAAUAAAAAAGUAUGUGAGAGCAUUUUAACAUCCUAAUACUUAUUAUAUUAAACUAUAAUUCUCAUUAUUUAAACUCAUGAUCCUUCACUUCAUCACCAAAUUUUGAAGACACUUUUGGCAUCUCUUCCAUGAAUUAAUUGAUGUUUAAGAAGGUAUAAUAAACUUUUAAUUGAAUUUAACAUUAUUUCUAUCCUAAUACUCAUCUUAAACUCUGUUUUUUUUUUUUUUAUACUCUUAUCAAAACAAAUAAAAACUUAACAAAAAAAUAAAGAUUUCAAUUACUCCGUGUUCAAAAGGGAAAAUGGCUAAAUGUCAUGAAAAUCAUACCUCAAUAGUUGAUUUAAAGCAUUUGAACAGAGAAACACCAAGUAGACAUGAUGGACUUGAUAAAACUUCCAAGCAUGUGCAACUGUGGACAUCUAGAACUCGUAAACUUGGUGGAAGCUCUGGAACUUGUAGAAGCCCCUGGCAGUGACUCAAUUCAAGGACUCUCAGUUUAGAAAGUUGAAUGAUGCCUGCAAGUAUGCUACUAAAACAGUCCUUGCUUAGAUUUAGACCUGAAGCGUACAAACCCUCUAAACAUUGCAAACUCCUCAGGUUCUCGGGAAAUCUCUCAAGUUUUGUACAGAAACUGACAUUUAGAAUUUUGAGCGUUUUCAACUUACAAAUGGCCUCUGGAAGACUCACAAGGUUGCUGCAAUCUGCAAGAUUCAAAUGUUGAAGCCCUCUUAGAUAUUGAAUUGAUGCUGGUAGUUCUUCUAUAGCAGUUCCAUCUAAAUGAAGCUCUCUUAUAUUUUCCACAUCCUCGAGGAUUUCCGGAAAGCUCCUUAAUCGUGAACAGCCUGAGCAGAAGAGAGUUGUAAGGGAUUUCAACUCACAUAUGCUACUGGGAAGAAGCUCAAGGUUUUUGCAUUCUCGCAAACAUAACCUAUUAAGUUUAUGGGGACACUCAAUAGUGGGUAGUUCAUUGAUGGCAUUUCCCUUUAAACAAAGCUUCCAUAGGGAUUGCACAUCCUCUUGACAUUCCCGGCAAACGGUGGAUAUCAUUGCUUUACCAUGGUUCUGUUCAUGAUCAUGGGCAUAUAUAAGAUGGAUCCCACACUCUUCUACUUUCACUGCUUUACCUCUCAAGUAGCCACAAAAUGAAGCCGUCAACUGCCUCCAUUUAUUUGAGUGGUACUUCUCCCCAAUCUCAUACUUAGGAUAAUAAAUCAUCCACAUAUAAGGUACAACAUUGCCGUAAAAUGAGGGAUAAAACUGGAGUUUAUCCACAAACUGAAUUUCAUGACCACGCAAAGUCAAACCAUACUCGAAGUAAGUUGCAUCAUUCUCCAGUGUCUCCUCAGAUUCAUUAUCAAGUGGAUAAUAGACAGAGUACAAAACAAAACCCAACAAGUCGUCAUUUUUAUACCAAUUUUGAGGAAGCUUUGCUACUACUUCAGCUCCCUUUUUGUGAUGGCUUAUCCAAUUUGGAAUUCCACAACUUUCUGAAAUAAUAAGAUUUACUCGGGCAAAAGGUUUUUCUAAAGGAUAAAUCUUGCAUUCCAAAUCCUGCAGAAAAUUUAAUUAACACGUAAAUCCCCAUGUCUCCACAAAAAAAGUUUUGGUCUAUGAAUAUCAUACCUGAAUCAAUGAUUUGAAGCAGUUGAAUAGAGAAGACCAGAGUAGACCUGAAGAAGUUUCCAGCCGUUUGCACGAUUGUACAUCUAAGACACGCAAACUGGAUGGAAGCACUGGAAUUUGUCGAAGCUCUUGACAGUUACUCAAGACAAGGAGUCUCAGCCUAGAAAGUUGAUUGAUCCCAGCAG
RNAcentral lists this long non-coding RNA (4140 nucleotides) under Vitis vinifera (wine grape). RNAcentral describes it as "long non-coding RNA (VVIN_LNC006323)". The record is from RNAcentral. Lineage: Eukaryota; Viridiplantae; Streptophyta; Magnoliopsida; Vitales; Vitaceae.